Molecule: ribosomal RNA, 443 nt
Filed under: uncultured bacterium
Lineage: Bacteria
Description: partial 16S ribosomal RNA
Rfam family: Bacterial small subunit ribosomal RNA
Source: RNAcentral
CCUACGGGUGGCUGCAGUGGGGAAUAUUGGGCAAUGGGCGCAAGCCUGACCCAGCAACGCCGCGUGAAGGAAGAAGGCUUUCGGGUUGUAAACUUCUUUUCUCAGGGACGAAGAAAGUGACGGUACCUGAGGAAUAAGCCACGGCUAACUACGUGCCAGCAGCCGCGGUAAUACGAAGGUGACAAGCGUUAUGCGGAUUUACUGGGUGUAAAGGGCGUGGAGGCGGGACUGCAAGUCAGAUGUGAAAACCACGGGCUCAACCUGUGGCCUGCAUUUGAAACGGUAGUUCUUGAGUACUGGAGAGGCAGCCGGAAUUCCUAGUGUAGCGGUGAAAUGCGUAGAUAUUAGGAGGACCCCCAGUGGCGACGGCGGUCUGCUGGACAGCAACUGACGCUGAGGCGCGAAAGCGUGGGGAGCAAACAGGAUUAGAUACCCCUGUAGUC